AGUCAAGAAAGAAAGGGCACAAGGUGGAUGCCUUGGCACAUGAAGGCGAUAAAGGACGUAAGUGAACGAAAACUAGGGUGAGCUCACAAAAAGCACUGACCCCUAGGUCUCCGAAUGGGGCAACCCGGUUGUGGAAGACACAAUCAUUACUAAGUGAAUACAUAGCUUAGUAAGGCGAUACCCUGCGAACUGAAACAUCUAAGUAGCAGGAGGAAGAGAAAGAAACAUCGAUUUUCUAAGUAGCGGCGAGCGAAAGGAAAAGAGCCUAACUCAUUAGCGAUAUCUUAAAGUUAGUCGAAUUAUUUGAAAAGAUAAACCAAAGAAAGUGACAGUCUUGUAGACGAAAGCUUUAAGAUACGAGAGGGAAAGUAUCACCGGGCACGAGUAACCCGGUGUGAAGAUAGGGGGCCCAUCCCCUAAGGCUAAAUACUAACAUGUGACCGAUA
Molecule: ribosomal RNA, 446 nt
Filed under: Anaerococcus hydrogenalis
Lineage: Bacteria; Bacillati; Bacillota; Tissierellia; Tissierellales; Peptoniphilaceae
Description: bacterial LSU rRNA
Rfam family: Bacterial large subunit ribosomal RNA
Source: RNAcentral